CAGAUCAAAUGCUUGCAACACUCCUGAUGUUUCUUUAGGAACUUCCAUCACACUUUCUACAGCUUUGGGACUAUAUUUCAUUUUUGCCUUGUAUAAUUUACUGGAUUAUGGCUGUAUGCAAUGAGAAUCUGGCAAACAGUCUAUUUAUGUCAGAGAAGGAGACAAUCACCAAGUGUUGGAUUAAGGGGAGUCAUGAAGAAAAGUUGCAGACUUCUCUAGGCUGCUUGUGAAAACCAUGUCAAAUAUCCAUCAGAGUUUAUCCGACCACCUUCUCCUGCUCUUCUGACAUCUCACGCCCAAUCAUCAACGUCGCGAUACGCCAAAAUGUCCCGUCGCAAGUGCAACUUCCACUGCUUCAAUGCAGUUGGAGGAGAAGGCUCUCACAAGUCCUCUCACCCUUUAGAUCAUCACAUCACCCGGCUACCAAAGAUAUCGCAGCAUGGCAUGGGGGCCUAUCAUGAAUUAGAUCAGGAAUGCUGUCUUUGCUCCGCAUGUCGACACGCGCACACGUUAGACGAUGUAGAGAACCAGCUGUUGCCUUUCUACCACGCACACCCACCAUA
Xiphophorus maculatus (southern platyfish) is the source of this 563-nucleotide long non-coding RNA. RefSeq lists it as uncharacterized. NCBI's taxonomy places the organism in Eukaryota, Metazoa, Chordata, Actinopteri, Cyprinodontiformes, Poeciliidae. The record is from RefSeq and is a predicted model, not a curated record. The transcript is spliced from 3 exons.